AUACGGAGGGUGCAAGCGUUGUCCGGAUUUAUUGGGUUUAAAGGGUGCGUAGGUGGUUUUUUAAGUCAGUGGUGAAAGCCUACAGCUUAACUGUAGAGGUGCCAUUGAUACUGGGGAACUUGAGUAUGGACGAGGUAGGCGGAAUUUGUGGUGUAGCGGUGAAAUGCAUAGAUACCACAAGGAACACCGAUAGCGAAGGCAGCUUACUGGGCCAUAACUGACACUGAGGCGCGAAAGCGUGGGGAGCGAACAGGAUUAGAAACCCCUGUAGUCC
This 274-nucleotide ribosomal RNA is filed under the name uncultured bacterium. Its description in RNAcentral is "partial 16S ribosomal RNA". It matches the Rfam family "Bacterial small subunit ribosomal RNA", at positions 523 to 796 of the family's 1533-position model. The record is from RNAcentral.